This 433-nucleotide ribosomal RNA is filed under the name uncultured bacterium. RNAcentral's name for it is "partial 16S ribosomal RNA". It matches the Rfam family "Bacterial small subunit ribosomal RNA", at positions 29 to 507 of the family's 1533-position model. The record is from RNAcentral.
AACGAACGCUGGCGGCAUGCCUAACACAUGCAAGUCGAACGAGACCUUCGGGUCUAGUGGCGCACGGGUGCGUAACGCGUGGGAACCUGCCCUUAAGUUCGGAAUAACUCCCCGAAAGGGGUGCUAAUACCGGAUAAUGUCUUCGGACCAAAGAUUUAUCGCCUUUGGAUGGGCCCGCGUUGGAUUAGCUAGUUGGUAGGGUAAAAGCCUACCAAGGCGACGAUCCAUAGCUGGUCUGAGAGGAUGAUCAGCCACACUGGGACUGAGACACGGCCAAGACUCCUACGGGAGGCAGCAGUGGGGAAUAUUGGACAAUGGGCGAAAGCCUGAUCCAGCAAUGCCGGGUGAGUGAUGAAGGCCUUAGGGUUGUAAAGUUCUUUUACCCGGGAUGAUAAUGACAGUACCGGGAGAAUAAGCACCGGCUAACUCCGUG